Phragmites australis (common reed) is the source of this 2234-nucleotide RNA transcript. It is a transcript of the gene named serine/threonine-protein kinase STY46-like, with no coding region annotated. The transcript is spliced from 15 exons. Lineage: Eukaryota; Viridiplantae; Streptophyta; Magnoliopsida; Poales; Poaceae. The record is from RefSeq and is a predicted model, not a curated record.
CUUAAAGCUCCCCCGCCUCGCCUCUUUCGAGCGCACGCCCGUAACAAACUCCCACGCCAGCCGCGCCACCACCGCACCACCGGGCUCUCGAACCUUCUGGAACGCGCGGGCGGGCGAGCGGGAGAAACCCUAGUCUGGAGGACGGUGUGCGCCCCGCGCUGGCCCGUGGCGAUGGCGGUGGCGGCGGGGGGUGGCGACGGCGCCGAGGAGGGCGUCGGCGAGAGCUCGUCUCCGCCUCGAGAAGCGGUGCCCGCGCCCGCUGCCUCGGGUGGGAGCGGCGGCGGAGCGGGAGGCGGGGGCCUCCGCGACAUCUGCCGCGAGGUGUUCGAGCGCCUCGUCGCCGACGGCCACAUCGAGGCGGUGGGGGCGUCCGGCCCCGAGAUUCGCGCCCAGCUGGAGGCCCACUUUAACCGGCUCCCUACCAGCUAUCAGCUGGAUGUGAAUGUUGACAAAGCAGAGGACGUGUUAAUCCAUCAGAAGGUUUUGGCAGAAGCAAAGGAUCCUGAUAGGCGCCCAGCAUUUGUUGCGCGUUUCCUCAUGCUUGAAGAGGUAAAUGUGGAUGAGACAACUAACUCUGAUGCACAUGAAGAAGGGGCUGACAUUGGUGAAGCUCUUUCUACCAGGUCAGAGACAUCAUACACACACAUUCAUGAGAUAGUCUUCUCCACUACCGACAAGCCCAAGCUCCUUAGUCAGCUGUCUGCUUUGCUUUCUGACAUUGGACUGAACAUCAGGGAGGCUCAUGUGUUCUCAACAACAGAUGGUUAUUCUCUUGAUGUUUUUGUUGUUGAUGGUUGGCCCAUUGAGGAUACCAAUGGUUUGCAUAAGGCACUAGAAGCAUCAAUUUUAAGAAAUGAGGGCUCAUGGUCUGGCUCUGAUUCAUCAACUUCAGAGAAAUCACUGCCAUUCCAAGCAGAAGGUUGUGAAUCAGAUAUUGACACAAGACUUCUGAAGAUUGUAAAGAAGGUUGCUUCUGGAUCUUGUGGGGAUAUGUUUCUUGGGACUUACGCUGGUGAGGAGGUUGCUAUUAAAGUCCUUAGUCCUGAGAAUUUGAACCAAAAUGCAUGGAAUGAAUUUAAGCAAGAAAUCUGCAUAUUAAGGGAAGUUGAUCAUCCCAAUAUUGUCCGAUUCAUUGGCUCAUGCACAAAGCCACCUCAGUUUUACAUAAUUACAGAAUGCAUGUCUAGAGGAAGCCUGUUUGAUUUCUUGCACAAUGAACAUAAUGUCUUGGACCUCCCAACAAUUCUGAAGUUCGCACUAGAUGUCUGCAGAGGGAUGUCUUACUUGCAUCAGAAGGGCAUCAUUCACAGAGAUUUAAAGUCUGCCAACCUUUUACUGGAUAAGGAUCAUGUUGUGAAAGUGGCAGAUUUUGGUCUAGCUCGUUUCCAGGAUCAAGGGGGUGCUAUGACAGCUGAAACUGGGACCUAUAGAUGGAUGGCACCUGAGGUUAUAAAUCAUCAGCCCUACGACAACAAAGCAGAUUUGUACAGUUUUGCUCUUGUACUUUGGGAGCUCACGACAUCCAAGAUUCCAUAUACUACCAUGAGUCCCCUCCAGGCAGCUGUAGGUGUGAGGCAGGUUGGUUUUUACAAUCUUACUUCUGUAGUAGAUACAUCUGUUCAUACUUCAUAUGCUUUUUCACUUUCAGAAGUUAUUCUUAACCUGAAGGUGGAACAAGGGAUUGCGCCCACAGCUUCCAGAAAAUGGACAUCCCAGGCUAUUAAACUUGAUGCAGAGAUGUUGGGAAGCCAUUCCAUCUGACCGACCUUCUUUCUCAGAUAUAAUUUCUGAACUAGAGUAUAUUCAGUCACAACCUCAGGGAACAUCAGGGGAGACAAGCCAGAAACAGAAGGACGUUGACCUAGGCACUAAAGAUUGACCCUCAGCACAUACUUGUUGACAGUUUUUCCACUAUCUGGUUGGCUGAGUUAGGAUCCGCAGCACUAACAUUGGAGAAAGUAGCAUAUCAAUUUUCGGCCCAGUUUUGUCUGCACUUGUAGGGGCCUAAUUUCUCGGUCUUACUCUCAUCCUUACUGUAUUAGCAUCAUUCUGAUUUUCGGUCUUACUCUCAAAGAGGAAAUCAGAAUGACCCGCCUGUUGAGUUUUCGGGUUGCGAUUUGAUAUGUGAACAUUCGGAUGAGCAUUCACAAAAUGGUGGUGGAUGUUUUGAAUACAACAGCUGCUGCUUAUAUGUAGUUACAUGUCAUCCAUUAAGUGACAAAAGCAUUAUAUGA